Long non-coding RNA from Fopius arisanus, 3282 nucleotides. RefSeq lists it as uncharacterized. The transcript has 2 exons. The record is from RefSeq and is a predicted model, not a curated record. NCBI's taxonomy places the organism in Eukaryota, Metazoa, Arthropoda, Insecta, Hymenoptera, Braconidae.
GUAUUCUACGAUGUUUCUGAUUGAAAAUAAACUAUUUUACAGUAUGUUCUUUCAUAAAAUGUAUAAUGUAAGAUCCUAAAUUCUACCAGUUUAAGAAGAAGAAGCCAAUAUGAACAAAACUGACCGAUGAUUUCUCUUCUAUUUUUUUUAAAUCGAAAACAACGCAGUUUUUCCUUCGAAAGGAAACAAUUCUUACUUUGAAAAUGGAGUAACUUGUACAGGGUUAACAUCGCUAUUUCUGAACCUAAUAACAGUGAAUUUUGGAUAGCUCUGAAAAUUGAAGCUCUCUUGAAUUUUACUAUGGUCCUGUAGUGCAAUACUCCAUAGUAAUUUUUACUGUGGUAACUUACUAUAAACUACUAAAAAUUUCUUUCCGUGUAUGGGUAUUAACAAAAUAAAUAACGUACUCGUGACAUUUUUUAUUUUAUUGUUUUCUUCAGAUAUACGAAAAUAUACCUCGUGAAAAUAAUUGCAUAAGUGACGUAGAAAGUGAAUACAUCGAGAUCUGUGAAACUCAACAUUGUUCUUUUCAACAAAACUGCAAAUAUUUCAUCAAUUGACUAAAUUACGUGGUAAAACUGUGAAAAACCAAAACCGCCUCAUACGUACUGGAGAUUAUAUUCCAAAGAGGGCUCGGCCUUUUUCGUAGAGAAUGAAAUUCUCCUCGAGAAGUGGCUUCCAUUUUUGUUCAAAACUUCUCCAUUUUUUUAACAAAAUUUUAAUAUUUCCGUCUUUUGCUUUAAUUUUUCUUGCGAAGUAUGAAUUAUACAAAUUAAAACAAAUAAGCAUGUAAAUAAUCUAAUUUUCUAUCAUUCGGCGAUUAAACGAUUUUAUACAAACAUACUAAUAAAAUACACCUAUCGAAAUAAUGUCUCCUAAUGAAUAUUACAAUAACUAUUGAAACACAAUUUCCUACUCAUGACAGUAUCUAAAAUUGAGCAAAGUUAAAUUAGGUGACUAGAAUUGAAAAAUUUCAAUUUUUCCAUUCUCUGAAUAUUUCUUCGUAUUUCGAGAGCAAUUUGGUUACAUUCUUUAUUUAUCAAAUUUGUAUUAUUGAAGAACUAUGAAAUUUGAUUUUUGCUCCUUCAUUUAAUUAUUUACAAUUUUUACAUAUAUAUACUACUCACUAAUUUGGCGAAUUGAAUACUGAAAAGUUCUCAUCAAUUAAGUAUUGCCAUUAUCCAACAAAUAAUGAUUUUUGUUCUUUCAAUUUUGAUUAUUAAAAAAAUUAAAUAAAAAAAUUGACACAAUAUUCAAUUAUUUCUCACACGUCAAUGUAGAAUUCCUCACAUUACAAUUUUUUAGUAUUAUUUAUAGAAAACAAUAUAGGUAAAUAAUUGCUUAUAGCUCUUUAUUAAUGCAGUAGUCAUGCUGCAAUAAUAAUCGCCUUGAGCUAGUGAUAAAUAAUUUAUUAAUAUUCUAAAUAUAAUAUGCAUAACAAAGAACUAUGCUUUAAGGCCCGCAUGUGUUCCUUGUCGGGGUUAUCGGAUAAAUUGAAUGUUUUUUAUCUUAUUCUAAAAAAUUAUUCCCAGCUUCUGGGUUUCGCCACGUUUACAGGAAUAGUAUAUUAUGCAACAAGUGCGUAAUGGAUAUCUUGGCUCGUGGGAAGGUUGUAACACGAGCCGAAGACGAGUUUCACAAUCCCACGAGUCAAAAAAUCCAUGAUGCACGUGUUUCGUACACUAUUUUAUGUCAUUGGGCCCGUAAUCCGUAAUUAGGAGCACGUAUGACAUAACAGUACAUUAUGUUAUCAGGUGAUAAAAGUAUUAUCCAGCGAAAGCGGGUUCUAUUCGAGCCACAGGCGAGGGGAUCAUAAUGACAUUCGAAAGAUAAUACUUUUACUGUCGUGUGGCAGACAAAAUUUUUCCCCGGGCCCGACAAAUCGCGAUUCUAACCUCACUUCGUUCAGUUAAAUCACGUCUGUCGGGCCACAGUGACGAAAAAUUAUUUAACAUACAAGAAUUACUCGUAAUGAUAACUAUCUUUCAGUUACCAUGGAAGUGAAUGCACUUAAAAAUUCAUUUUUACAUUUGAGCCAGCAAAAACUGAUAAAAAACUGCCUUUGGCAGUGUUCAUAUGAUUGGAAAACGAUUGGAAGUGACACAAUAUCCAGGAAGGACAGAUAUAUCAAGUGAAACGGAACCAUUUAUGAAUUUAUUCCUAUCGUGAACGGGAAGUGAGUAGAGAAAACGAAUUUUUUCACUAUAGAAAUUUCAGAUAACAGUCAUUACUCUGAAUUCAUAUCCCAUUCUCAAAUGAAAUCAUUCUCAUAUAUAAUAUUGCCUUCCAUUAAUAAUAAACCUCUCUAAUAGGAAUAUCAUAAGGAGUUUGCAUCGCUCCUCAAUAAGAGUCUUUGAGAUCAUGAGAUUUAACUGGUCUGGUUUAUUUGAAACACUGACGAAAUUAUAAUUCCAGUUCAAAUCAGGAAAGUGCCGAUAUCUUGGGAUCUAGAAAUGCGCAUAAGAAACCUUUCCAUAUGGACGGCCACUCCAUUUUACUCUAGGACAAGAAAAACUUGAGUCAUGGAAUUAAGGAUGUUCUACCCUGAAUUUCAUUGUAAUGAAAAAACUUUGCAAAAAAAUUCGGACAUAAUUUCCAACUCAUUCUAACACUCCAUGCGAAAUUUGAGUCCAAUUCACAAUGUAGUUUUUUUUAAUCAAUUUUUGAAAUAUUAUUUUUUUUUGCAGUAGAAUAUCGUGGAAUUUACCAAAAAGACAUAUUGGAUAUAACUACUUCAAGCCUUUGUAAAUUUUUUGUAUGAUCUUCAAAUUAUUCUGAACAAUUAUGCGAAAUUUCAAAAUGAUUUGAUGCGAAUAAUUUAUUAUUGUGAGUUGUAAACAACUAAAUUUUCAAAUAAUUUGAUAGGAGUGCGUUGUCAUUGAGUGAAGAAAUCAUGAAAAAAUUAAGCGAUUUAUCUCAAAUUUUUUACGUGAAAUAAUUAUUGAUUAACCAAUAUAUUAAUAUAUUAAUUGUAUGGAAUUUCAUUAAAUUCUACAGCACAGUUCUUUGUUAAAAAAAUUUAAACUACUGACAAAUCCUUUUGAGAGACAAUUACUGCGCGCGCAGUGUGAAUACGUGAUCACACCGUGUAGCAAGCAAGGAGAGGGAUUGGACGCGGUAGAUUCCAAUACCGGAGUAGGUUAUAUUGGCCAUAUUGGCGAAUGAAGAUGAAAUAUAUUAAAAAUUCAACUUGGUAAGUUUUUUAUUACAAAAUUGUUAUUCAUGAAUAGUGAUAUAAAAUUAACAAUAGAAUUGAAUAAAAAAAGUACGUUAGAAAUAGCA